CCUACGGGAGGCUGCAGUGGGGAAUUUUGGACAAUGGGCGCAAGCCUGAUCCAGCCAUGCCGCGUGCGGGAAGAAGGCCUUCGGGUUGUAAACCGCUUUUGUCAGGGAAGAAAAGGCUUCUGCUAAUACCGGAGGCUCAUGACGGUACCUGAAGAAUAAGCACCGGCUAACUACGUGCCAGCAGCCGCGGUAAUACGUAGGGUGCAAGCGUUAAUCGGAAUUACUGGGCGUAAAGCGUGCGCAGGCGGUUAUGCAAGACAGAGGUGAAAUCCCCG
This 275-nucleotide ribosomal RNA is filed under the name uncultured Roseateles sp. RNAcentral describes it as "partial 16S ribosomal RNA". It matches the Rfam family "Bacterial small subunit ribosomal RNA", at positions 338 to 605 of the family's 1533-position model. The record is from RNAcentral. Lineage: Bacteria; Pseudomonadati; Pseudomonadota; Betaproteobacteria; Burkholderiales; Sphaerotilaceae.